This 539-nucleotide ribosomal RNA is filed under the name Hepatozoon felis. RNAcentral's name for it is "bacterial SSU rRNA". It matches the Rfam family "Eukaryotic small subunit ribosomal RNA", at positions 223 to 753 of the family's 1831-position model. Lineage: Eukaryota; Apicomplexa; Hepatozoidae. The record is from RNAcentral.
CAAUACAUGCUUUUAAAGUAUAAAAUUUGGUGAUUUACAAUAACUUAGCAAAUCGCAUAGUGAAAACUGGCGAUAAAUCAUUCAAGUUUCUGACCUAUCAGCUUUCGACGGUAUGGUAUUGGCUUACCGUGGCAGUGACGGUUAACGGGGGAUUAGGGUUCGAUUCCGGAGAGGGAGCCUGAGAAACGGCUACCACAUCUAAGGAAGGCAGCAGGCGCGCAAAUUACCCAAUUCUAACAGCAUGAGAGAGGUAGUGACAAGAAAUAACAAUACAAGGCAGUUAAAAUGCUUUGUAAUUGGAAUGAUAGAAAUUUAAACACUUUUUAAAGUAUCAAUUGGAGGGCAAGUCUGGUGCCAGCAGCCGCGGUAAUUCCAGCUYCAAUAGCGUAUAUUAAAAUUGUUGCAGUUAAAAAGCUCGUAGUUGAAUUUCUGUUAAAAAUAACCGGUCUGCUUUUAAUAAAAGYGGUAUCUUGGUGUGUUUUUAGCAAUAAUGUCCUUUGAAAUGUUUUUUACUUUAUUGUAAUAGAUUAUAUUCAGGA